GAUGAACGCUGGCGGCGUGCCUAAUACAUGCAAGUCGAGCGAACAGAUGAGGAGCUUGCUCCCCUGACGUUAGCGGCGGACGGGUGAGUAACACGUGGAUAACCUACCUAUAAGACUGGGAUAACUUCGGGAAACCGGAGCUAAUACCGGAUAAUAUAUUGAACCGCAUGGUUCAAUAGUGAAAGACGGUUUUGCUGUCACUUAUAGAUGGAUCCGCGCCGCAUUAGCUAGUUGGUAAGGUAACGGCUUACCAAGGCAACGAUGCGUAGCCGACCUGAGAGGGUGAUCGGCCACACUGGAACUGAGACACGGUCCAGACUCCUACGGGAGGCAGCAGUAGGGAAUCUUCCGCAAUGGGCGAAAGCCUGACGGAGAAACGCCGCGUGAGUGAUGAAGGUCUUCGGAUCGUAAAACUCUGUUAUUAGGGAAGAACAAAUGUGUAAGUAACUAUGCACGUCCUGACGGUACCUAAUCAGAAAGCCACGGCUAACUACGUG
This 497-nucleotide ribosomal RNA is filed under the name uncultured bacterium. RNAcentral describes it as "partial 16S ribosomal RNA". It matches the Rfam family "Bacterial small subunit ribosomal RNA", at positions 28 to 507 of the family's 1533-position model. The record is from RNAcentral.